AAUUAAGACAAAACAAAAAAAGACAUUAGUUUUUCUUUCCCAACUCACUAGUUUCAGAACUUAGCAUGUUCUUCCUAAACAUUCCAAGUCUAUGAAGUAUAUCUCUGAAGUACAUCAACCACCCAUCAGAAAUAAUGUGAAUCUAAAGUUCUUUCAUAAAUAUUUUGAUCCACUAACAAAAAUUAUCCUCAGAAUAAAACAGUAUGAAACUAUUUUAACAGAGAAUACAACAAAUACUAGUUUAUUAAUAUUUCACUAAAUUUGUGAAUACAAGGAAAUCAACAAUUUGUGAAACAUCUGAUAGUAUCCUUAAACAUUAUCUUGCUAUUUACUUACAUACAUUUGAUAAGCUUGUUUAUGUAAACACAAAUAAUCACCUAUAAUAAAGGCACAUAUUAUUAACCCGGGAGGGGGAAUUUUAAACGUAAAAAUACUUUCAGAUGGAAUUUUACAUCAUAAAUUCAAAUCACAGCUUCAAGCAAAUGUCUGCAAAUAGAUCGCAAUUUUUCAUACCAGAAAUGCUUUGCGCCAUGUGUCUUCAAUGCACACGGCUCCUCCAGCUCCCUACACCGCAGGGCCACUAGAACCAGUCAUGACACCUGGAUUCUACCAGCUCAGUGAUGACUUCACAGUCACAACCAAAGCAAACUGCCAGGUUUUUUCUUGUUUUUUUCACACCAGAGCCCUUUUCUUAAGGAAAAAAUUCUAAAUUACAGAAAUGGGCAUCAGAUAGAGCAAGUACACUGUACAAUUCAUCACUGUGUUAUUAACAAGUUCUUCACUAUAAAGUAUUAAGCUGAAUUAGAAAAGCCCCAUCAACAUGCAUUUUAAAUGUCAGCUUUGUAAGACAACAGCCUUCUUCUGGUGUACAGUAGCUCACUGUUAAGAAUUUAAUAAUCUGAAGAUAAAGAAACUUAAAUUUACCUAUCAGCACUGCAUUUCAUAAUUUUCUUUUAGCAAUUUUUUAAAGUCUAGAUUUUGAAAAGAUUUGCCUCCUCCAUUGUCUAUGUCCAAGGCAUUUAAUCUUUUUGAACUCCUUCAGAAUCUACCGAAAGUUACACAAGCUCUCCCACAAAACAGCAUAUAUUUAAGUGCUCAUAAAAAUGUGCACAUUAUCUCAGACUGUUCGGACAACACCUCACUGCCAGGUUUAAAAAAAAAAAUCCUGGCUACACCACAGUAGCUACCAGGAGGAAAAAAUAAACUUAAUGUGUUCACUGCUUACAUAAGUAACACAAAAGGCAUACAACUUAAUAUACUGGACAACCAUGGAAAAUCAAACACUAGUAAGUACGGAGAAGUCGUUUGAUAACACUACUGACUUCUGCAGUGAAUAAAGGAUUAAAAACAUACAAAGUCCCCACGCUGGAAGCACAUUAGACCAUUACUGGGGAGAGAAGUAGGAGCAAAGAGUAGCAGAGAAAAAAAAUUGUCAAAUUUUAUUUGAAGGUUAGGCUCUAAAAUCAAAUAACAAGGUAAACAUAACAGUCAAAAUUAUCUUUAAAUUCAAAUCCCUCACACAGACAUCACUGUGAAGACACAAAUUCUUUCUCCUAAGUCCAACUCAGACAAUAUUCCUUACAGGAUUGAUAAUUUGCUUUUUUGCCUAACCACCAAAUGAACUAGUUAAUACAAAGUCAUGCUGCAACAAAAAUACCUAUCUUUGAACUCUAGAAUGUGCUCUCAGCCUGGUGAAACGCUCACAUCUGAAACCAAUACCAGACUCAAUCUCCUGUUCAACUCAGUGGAAUAAUGGGCCGAGGUGCCCGUUACUUAUUUUCUCUUUCGCAGUUCCAAGUCAUUCCAUUCACCUAAAUUAAUUACAACUCCUCGUUAGGUAGAUGAGCUGUUACAGUUUACACUUAGUAAGGAAUACAUCAAUGAUCAUGGCAUAAUUCGUCUGACUGUGCUCUCUGCUAAGCAGUAAAGUUAGAUGGACAGGUUUGGUGUAGGAUGGGCUUUUUUUUAAGACUGUCUCAAAAAAAAAGACUGUCUCAAAAAACACACACACAAAAAAACAAAAAAACCCUCUGACCAGGCUGGAGUGCAGUGGUGCGACCAUGCCAAACUCCUGGGCUCAAGGGAUCCUCCCAUCUCAGUCUCUUGAAUAUCUGGUACUAUAGGCAUGCACCAGCAUGCCUGGAUAAUUUUCACGUGUUGGUCACGUGAAGAUGACAGACGCUGAGCUUGUGUAUAACAUUCACCUGGCUGUCAAUUUCUUGGUGUCACUGCUCAAGAAAAACUGGCAGAAUGUCCGGGCCUUAUAUAUCAAGAGCACCACGGGCAAGCCCCAGCGCCUAUAUUAAGGCACAUUUGAAUAAAUUCUAUUACCACUCUUCUCUGUCUCUGAA
Cebus imitator (Panamanian white-faced capuchin) is the source of this 2351-nucleotide long non-coding RNA. RefSeq lists it as uncharacterized. NCBI's taxonomy places the organism in Eukaryota, Metazoa, Chordata, Mammalia, Primates, Cebidae. The transcript has 3 exons. The record is from RefSeq and is a predicted model, not a curated record.